GACGAACGCUGGCGGCGUGCCUAAUACAUGCAAGUCGAACGAACCGCGACUGAGUGCUUGCACUUGGUCAAGGUGAGUGGCGAACGGGUGAGUAACACGUGGGUAACCUACCUCAUAGUGGGGGAUAACAGUCGGAAACGACUGCUAAUACCGCAUAGGACAUAGGAUCACAUGAUCCAGUGAGGAAAGGUGGCGCAAGCUAUCGCUAAGAGAUGGACCCGCGGUGCAUUAGCUAGUUGGUAGGGUAAAGGCCUACCAAGGCGAUGAUGCAUAGCCGACCUGAGAGGGUGAUCGGCCACAGUGGGACUGAGACACGGCCCAAACUCCUACGGGAGGCAGCAGUAGGGAAUCUUCCGCAAUGGACGCAAGUCUGACGGAGCAACGCCGCGUGAGUGAAGAAGGUCUUCGGAUCGUAAAGCUCUGUUGUUAGAGAAGAACAGCGCAUAGAGUAACUGCUAUGCGUGUGACGGUAUCUAACCAGAAAGCCACGGCUAACUACGUG
Molecule: ribosomal RNA, 502 nt
Filed under: uncultured bacterium
Lineage: Bacteria
Description: partial 16S ribosomal RNA
Rfam family: Bacterial small subunit ribosomal RNA
Source: RNAcentral